This 335-nucleotide long non-coding RNA is filed under the name Linum usitatissimum (flax). Its description in RNAcentral is "long non-coding RNA (LUSI_LNC002195)". Lineage: Eukaryota; Viridiplantae; Streptophyta; Magnoliopsida; Malpighiales; Linaceae. The record is from RNAcentral.
CUUGAUGACGUCCAUCUGGGUGUUGAGCGAUACAUGGACCGGUGCAGAAGCGAGGGAGGAGAAGCAUAGGUCAGGAUGCCUGGUGUUGCUGCACGACGAGGUCAGGACGGUGCGGCGGCUGGCGGAUAACGAGCUAUACGUCCGAGUGCUAGCAACGAAUGUACUCGUACUACUGGCGAGGAUAAUAAUUAGCAGGUUGAGGAGAGUAAGAAAGUAAGCUGAUGUGGCCAUGUUGGGUAUUGUUCUGUUGAGAUGUGAGGGAAGAAGAAGGUGUUAUGAGGGAGCUUAUAUACAGUAAUCAAGGGGGUGAGGAAUACAAUUAAUAAACUAUAAAG